AUUUUUUUGAAACAAAAUGGACGAAGAAGUUUUAAAAUCUUUAACCAGUAUAGAACUGAAAAAGGUUUAAUGCAAUGAAAACAUUAUUACAAAAUAAAAAGAAAAAGAAAAAAAAACACACACACACAUACAUACAUACAUACAUACAUACAUACAUACAAUAAAAAUAGAAAUAAAUAACGAAUUUUACUAAAGAAAUUUUACAAUGAAUUUUAUCAAAUGAAAGACAAUAAAAAUAUUUUUACAUUUGUAAAAUUAUACACACUGUUUUACAAUUGUAUACAAUAUUAUAUAUAGUUAUUUUAUUUUUUUCUUUUUUUUAAUACCUUUUAAUAUGUAGAACAUUUUAAAAAAAGCUAAAAAUAUUUUAUCAGAAAGAAAAAAUACAAUAAAUGAAAAUAAUAAGUGUGAUGUUAUUAGUAUCAUAAAAAAUGAAGAAGACUAUAUUUUAGAAACGGAAUAUGAAAAAAACAUAAUACCCGAUACUACUGAAAAACAAAAUAUAUGCUUAAAAAAUAAGGAAACAAAAUUUUUUACUUUACAAGAUUUUACAAGCAAAUAUUCAAAAACGUGUGAAAUGCACAACUUGAAUUAUGAUAAUGUCGAAUAUGAGUUGUUAAUAUCUUUUAUGAACACAUUCAACAAUGAACUAAAGUAUCAAAUAAAGUUAAAUAACAAUGAGAAGGAAGAUAAACAAAAUUCUAUUCUCCUAAAAAUGGUUAACAUUUUUAUGGAUAAAAUUAUACUUUGCUGCUCAAACCCAACUAUUUUUUUGGCACAGAAUAACAACAAUAGUAGUAGCUUGUUGGAUAAUGACAUGAUUGUACAAAUUAAUAAUUUUUUAAAACAAAUUGAAAAAAAUAUAAAUGAAGACGUUUUAUUUAAAACAUGUUUAAGCGUUAUACUAGAUAAAAUUUUUAACUUCAAACCAGACCCUGAUAAUAUGGCUAGCUGGAUUUCUCGUCAAGCUUUUGUGGAUCUUAUUAAAGUCAUGCUUGACGAAAACACAAAAAGAUAUGAACUAUGCAUCACAUAUACAGUGAAUUUGAUAAAAAAGAAUUGUUCAAACCUAACUUUUUUUCAAGUUGAUAAUGUCGUUGUCCUAAUCGAAAUAAUUCAAUAUGCAAUAAUUUUUUUAUCAGAAAAAAAAUACAAUGCGGUAUACAUUAAAUAUCAUUUAUGUUUUAUAGCUAUGCGUGAUUUUCGUUUAAGCUUUAUUUGUCUUUUUUUUUUUUACUCACUACUUUUUUUUUUUACUUUUUCAAAAUUUUAAUAGAAAUACUACUCGUUCACAAAUGAAAAAUGGUUUGAAGACUUCAAAGACCUCGUAUGGCUAAUACAAAAAAAAAAAAAAAAAAAAAAAACAUACACACAAACAAACAAACAAACACAAUGUACGUACAUACAUACGUAUAUAUAUAUAUAUAUAUAUAUAUAACUUAUGCAUAUGUAUGUGCAGCUACAUACCUUGAAGGACACAGAGUGGAAAAUUUAUUUAAAUCAGCUGAUGGCUGUAGAAACAUUUCUUUUUAAGAAAAAAAGCGAAAACACGAAGAAGGCUUUUAAUGAAAUUUAUAAACAACAGAUAGAACUUUCAGCUCUUAAAAAUAGUUCUUAUUCUAAAUGGUUUAAAAUUGAGUUGCCCCUAUCAAUGAGCUUAUUCAAGUAGGCUAUUCAUAUUCCCAACUUUCAAUUUAUUAGCGGAGUAAGAACUUAAUUUAUCCAGUUGAGCAAAAAUUAAAUUUUAUUUUAUAUUACCAGAAUUUACAAAAAUGAGAAAAAAUCCAGGUGCAUGGAAAUGCAAGUGUAUAUACAUUUAUAUAUAUAGCACUAUUAAAAUUAAAAUGAAAAAUUAAAUCUAUAAAAAAUCAGUACUACUUAUAGGCUGAUAUAUAUAUAUAUAUAUAUUUUUUUUUGUACUAUUAGUAAUAACCGUUUUCAUCUGUAAAAAUUAUGAUAUAUAUAUAUAUAUAUAUAUAUAUAUAUACA
This is a long non-coding RNA of Piliocolobus tephrosceles (Ugandan red Colobus), 1989 nucleotides long. NCBI's taxonomy places the organism in Eukaryota, Metazoa, Chordata, Mammalia, Primates, Cercopithecidae. The record is from Ensembl.